Molecule: ribosomal RNA, 253 nt
Filed under: uncultured bacterium
Lineage: Bacteria
Description: partial 16S ribosomal RNA
Rfam family: Bacterial small subunit ribosomal RNA
Source: RNAcentral
UACGUAGGGUGCAAGCGUUGUCCGGAAUUAUUGGGCGUAAAGCGCUCGUAGGCGGUCCGGUAAGUCCGCUGUGAAAGUCGGGGGCUCAACCCUCGAAUGCCGGUGGAUACUGUCGGGCUAGAGUGCGGAAGAGGCGAGUGGAAUUCCUGGUGUAGCGGUGAAAUGCGCAGAUAUCAGGAGGAACACCUAUGGCGAAGGCAGCUCGCUGGGACGUUACUGACGCUGAGACGCGAAAGCGUGGGGAGCAAACAGG